GACGAACGCUGGCGGCGUGCUUAACACAUGCAAGUCGAGCGGUAAGGCCCUUUCGGGGGCACACGAGCGGCGAACGGGUGAGUAACACGUGGGUGACCUGCCCUCAGCUCUGGGAUAAGCCUGGGAAACCGGGUCUAAUACCGGAUAUGACUCCAUGACGCAUGUUGUGGGGUGGAAAGCCUUGUGCGGCUGAGGAUGGGCCCGCGGCCUAUCAGCUUGUUGGUGGGGNGAUGGCCUACCAAGGCGACGACGGGUAGCCGGCCUGAGAGGGCGACCGGCCACACUGGGACUGAGACACGGCCCAGACUCCUACGGGAGGCAGCAGUGGGGAAUCUUGCGCAAUGGGCGAAAGCCUGACGCAGCGACGCCGCGUGAGGGAUGACGGCCUCGGU
Molecule: ribosomal RNA, 392 nt
Filed under: uncultured bacterium
Lineage: Bacteria
Description: bacterial SSU rRNA
Rfam family: Bacterial small subunit ribosomal RNA
Source: RNAcentral